CCUACGGGAGACAGCAGUGAGGAAUAUUGGUCAAUGGACGAGAGUCUGAACCAGCCAAGUAGCGUGAAGGAUGACUGCCCUAUGGGUUGUAAACUUCUUUUAUAUGGGAAUAAAACAGGGUAUGCAUACCCUCUUGUAUGUACCAUAUGAAUAAGGAUCGGCUAACUCCGUGCCAGCAGCCGCGGUAAUACGGAGGAUCCGAGCGUUAUCCGGAUUUAUUGGGUUUAAAGGGAGCGUAGGUGGAUUGUUAAGUCAGUUGUGAAAGUUUGCGGCUCAACCGUAAAAUUGCAGUUGAAACUGGCAGUCUUGAGUACAGUAGAGGUGGGCGGAAUUCGUGGUGUAGCGGUGAAAUGCUUAGAUAUCACGAAGAACUCCGAUUGCGAAGGCAGCUCACUGGACUGCAACUGACACUGAUGCUCGAAAGCGUGGGUAGCAAACAGGAUUAGAUACCCGGGUAGUC
This 460-nucleotide ribosomal RNA is filed under the name uncultured bacterium. RNAcentral describes it as "partial 16S ribosomal RNA". It matches the Rfam family "Bacterial small subunit ribosomal RNA", at positions 338 to 795 of the family's 1533-position model. The record is from RNAcentral.